Molecule: ribosomal RNA, 404 nt
Filed under: uncultured bacterium
Lineage: Bacteria
Description: bacterial SSU rRNA
Rfam family: Bacterial small subunit ribosomal RNA
Source: RNAcentral
GAGGAAUAUUGCACAAUGGGCGCAAGCCUGAUGCAGCGACGCCGCGUGGGUGAAGAAGGUUUUCGGAUCGUAAAACCCUUUUCUGUGUGACGAGCAAGGACGGUAGCACAGGAAUAAGUCUCGGCUAACUACGUGCCAGCAGCCGCGGUAAAACGUAGGAGACAAACGUUAUCCGGAGUUACUGGGCGUAAAGGGCGCGUAGGUGGCCCGGUCAGUCUUUGGUGAAAGCGCGGGGCUCAACCCUGCGUCGGCCAGGGAUACUGCCGCGGCUCGAGCACUGUAGAGGCAGGCGGAAUUCCGGGUGUAGCGGUGGAAUGCGUAGAGAUCCGGAAGAACACCGGUGGCGAAGGCGGCCUGCUGGGCAGUUUGGCUGACACUGAGGCGCGACAGCGUGGGGAGCAAAC